GCCGGGCAUGGUGGUGGGUGCCUGUAAUCCCAGCUACUUGGGAGGCUGAGGCAGGAGAAUCGCUUGAACCCAGGAGGCAGAGGUUGCAGUGAGCCAAGAUGGCACCACUGCACUCCAGCCUGGGUGACAAAGCGAGACUCUGUCUANN
RNAcentral lists this non-coding RNA (148 nucleotides) under Chlorocebus sabaeus (green monkey). Lineage: Eukaryota; Metazoa; Chordata; Mammalia; Primates; Cercopithecidae. The record is from Rfam by way of RNAcentral.